AGUUUCAGUCAGAAACUGAUUUGGUAAGCACAUACUUGUGUGAUAAUGGCAUCUCUGCAAAGAGUUAUCACAGUGGUCUUCUUGCUAAAGAUCGCAAACGCAUACAAGAGAAUUUUUGUUCAAACAAGAUUAGAGUGGUUGUUGCAACUGUGGCUUUUGGCAUGGGACUUGACAAGAGGGACGUUGGCGCUGUAAUCCACUACAGCAUGCCGGAAAGCUUGGAGGAGUAUGUUCAAGAGAUAGGGCGUGCUGGCCGGGAUGGUAGAUUAUCGUACUGUCAUCUAUUUCUUGACAAUGAUACAUAUUUCAAGCUUCGAAGUCUUAUGCACAGUGAUGGAGUCGAU
Molecule: unclassified non-coding RNA, 344 nt
Filed under: Hevea brasiliensis (rubber tree)
Lineage: Eukaryota; Viridiplantae; Streptophyta; Magnoliopsida; Malpighiales; Euphorbiaceae
Source: RNAcentral